GUGCCAGCCGCCGCGGUAAGACGUAGGGCGCGAGCGUUGUCCGGAUUUAUUGGGCGUAAAGAGCUCGUAGGCGGCUUGUCGCGUCGACUGUGAAAACCCGCAGCUCAACUGCGGGCCUGCAGUCGAUACGGGCAGGCUAGAGUUCGGUAGGGGAGACUGGAAUUCCUGGUGUAGCGGUGAAAUGCGCAGAUAUCAGGAGGAACACCGGUGGCGAAGGCGGGUCUCUGGGCCGAUACUGACGCUGAGGAGCGAAAGCGUGGGGAGCGAACAGGAUUAGAUACCCUGGUAGUCCACGCUGUAAACGUUGGGCGCUAGGUGUGGGGGGCCUCUCCGGUUCCCUGUGCCGCAGCUAACGCAUUAAGCGCCCCGCCUGGGGAGUACGGCCGCAAGGCUAAA
This 396-nucleotide ribosomal RNA is filed under the name uncultured bacterium. Its description in RNAcentral is "bacterial SSU rRNA". It matches the Rfam family "Bacterial small subunit ribosomal RNA", at positions 505 to 898 of the family's 1533-position model. The record is from RNAcentral.